This 244-nucleotide microRNA precursor is filed under the name Pelobates cultripes (western spadefoot toad). The record is from RNAcentral. Lineage: Eukaryota; Metazoa; Chordata; Amphibia; Anura; Pelobatidae.
CAUGCCAUUUGCAAAAGUAAACAACCCAAGGUAUUACAAAUGGGGUAUGUCCAGUCUUUUUAAGUAGCCACUUAGUCACAAACAUUGGCCAAAAUUAGCAUUAGAAUUAGUUUUUUGCAAUUUUCACACACAAACAAAUAUGAACGCUAACUUUGGCCAGUGUUUGUGACUAAGUGGCUACUUAAAAAGACUGGACAUACCCCAUUUGCAAAACCUUGGGUUGCCUACUUUUGUAAAUGGAAUG